UACGUAGGGAGCAAGCGUUGUUCGGAUUUACUGGGCGUAAAGGGCGCGUAGGCGGCGCGGUAAGUCACUUGUGAAAUCUCUGAGCUUAACUCAGAACGGCCAAGUGAUACUGCAGUGCUAGAGUGCAGAAAGGGCAAUCGGAAUUCUUGGUGUAGCGGUGAAAUGCGCAGAUAUCAGGAGGAACACCGGUGGCGAAGGCGGGUCUCUGGGCCGAUACUGACGCUGAGGAGCGAAAGCGUGGGGAGCGAACAGG
This 253-nucleotide ribosomal RNA is filed under the name uncultured bacterium. Its description in RNAcentral is "partial 16S ribosomal RNA". It matches the Rfam family "Bacterial small subunit ribosomal RNA", at positions 524 to 776 of the family's 1533-position model. The record is from RNAcentral.